ACAUGAAGCUGGAAUCGCUAGUAAUCGCGGAUCAGAAUGCCGCGGUGAAUACGUUCCCGGGUCUUGUACACACCGCCCGUCACACCAUGGGAGUCAGUAACGCCCGAAGUCAGUGACCCAACCGGAAGGAGGGAGCUGCCGAAGGCAGGCUCGAUAACUGGGGUGAAGUCGUAACAAGGUAAC
This 183-nucleotide ribosomal RNA is filed under the name uncultured bacterium. RNAcentral's name for it is "partial 16S ribosomal RNA". It matches the Rfam family "Bacterial small subunit ribosomal RNA", at positions 1318 to 1500 of the family's 1533-position model. The record is from RNAcentral.